AGAGUUUGAUCCUGGCUCAGGAUGAACGCUAGCUACAGGCUUAACACAUGCAAGUCGAGGGGCAGCAUGAACUUAGCUUGCUAAGUUUGAUGGCGACCGGCGCACGGGUGAGUAACACGUAUCCAACCUUCCGUUUACUCAGGGAUAGCCUUUCGAAAGAAAGAUUAAUACCUGAUAGUAUGGUGAGAUUGCAUGAUAGCACCAUUAAAGAUUUAUUGGUAAACGAUGGGGAUGCGUUCCAUUAGGUAGUAGGCGGGGUAACGGCCCACCUAGCCUGCGAUGGAUAGGGGUUCUGAGAGGAAGGUCCCCCACAUUGGAACUGAGACACGGUCCAAACUCCUACGGGAGGCAGCAGUGAGGAAUAUUGGUCAAUGGGCGAGAGCCUGAACCAGCCAAGUAGCGUGAAGGAUGAAGGUCCUACGGAUUGUAAACUUCUUUUAUACGGGAAUAAAGUAUCCUACGUGUAGGAUUUUGUAUGUACCGUAUGAAUAAGCAUCGGCUAACUCCGUGCCAGCAGCCGCGGU
RNAcentral lists this ribosomal RNA (524 nucleotides) under Bacteroides sp. CB2. RNAcentral describes it as "bacterial SSU rRNA". It matches the Rfam family "Bacterial small subunit ribosomal RNA", at positions 8 to 521 of the family's 1533-position model. Lineage: Bacteria; Pseudomonadati; Bacteroidota; Bacteroidia; Bacteroidales; Bacteroidaceae. The record is from RNAcentral.